AAACACUCUGGAGAGAGGCGUGGAAACUGCGUCCGCCGAAGGGAUAACGAUCUCAGGCAAAAAGACAGAGGGGG
RNAcentral lists this non-coding RNA (74 nucleotides) under marine eukaryotic metagenome. Its description in RNAcentral is "Glycine riboswitch". It matches the Rfam family "Glycine riboswitch aptamer". Rfam says of the family: This family represents the bacterial glycine riboswitch. Glycine riboswitches usually consist of two metabolite-binding aptamers domains with similar structures in tandem. The aptamers cooperatively bind glycine to regulate the expression of downstream genes. The record is from RNAcentral.